UCAAGGCGAAGGACGCCAGAGGGAUACGAACUCAGGACGAGGGUCAGGAGCGCCAGGAGGCGAAGACGACGGACUUGCCAGGAGGCAGCGUCAGGAGACGCAGUACAGGGAAAAGGAACGCAACACGGAGCGUUUAGCGCCAAGGGAAAGACAGGGUGUGUUGGUGGCGGACAUGGAGCGUAAGGCCCGUUAAGGGUUGUGAAACGGAAAAAAGGCGACAGAUCACUCUGUCGCCUUUUUUCUUUGUUCGCUU
Molecule: small RNA, 253 nt
Organism: Pluralibacter gergoviae
Lineage: Bacteria; Pseudomonadati; Pseudomonadota; Gammaproteobacteria; Enterobacterales; Enterobacteriaceae
Source: Rfam